GAUGAACGCUGGCGGCGUGCCUAAUACAUGCAAGUCGAGCGAACAGAUGAGGAGCUUGCUCCUCUGACGUUAGCGGCGGACGGGUGAGUAACACGUGGAUAACCUACCUAUAAGACUGGGAUAACUUCGGGAAACCGGAGCUAAUACCGGAUAAUAUAUUGAACCGCAUGGUUCAAUAGUGAAAGACGGUUUUGCUGUCACUUAUAGAUGGAUCCGCGCCGCAUUAGCUAGUUGGUAAGGUAACGGCUUGCCAAGGCAACGAUGCGUAGCCGACCUGAGAGGGUGAUCGGCCACACUGGAACUGAGACACGGUCCAGACUCCUACGGGAGGCAGCAGUAGGGAAUCUUCCGCAAUGGGCGAAAGCCUGACGGAGCAACGCCGCGUGAGUGAUGAAGGUCUUCGGAUCGUAAAACUCUGUUAUUAGGGAAGAACAAAUGUGUAAGUAACUAUGCACGUCUUGACGGUACCUAAUCAGAAAGCCACGGCUAACUACGU
Molecule: ribosomal RNA, 496 nt
Filed under: uncultured bacterium
Lineage: Bacteria
Description: partial 16S ribosomal RNA
Rfam family: Bacterial small subunit ribosomal RNA
Source: RNAcentral